AUACGUAGCCGACCUGAGAGGGUGAUCGGCCACACUGGAACUGAGACACGGUCCAGACUCCUACGGGAGGCAGCAGUAGGGAAUCUUCCGCAAUGGGCGAAAGCCUGACGGAGCAACGCCGCGUGAGUGAUGAAGGUCUUCGGAUCGUAAAACUCUGUUAUCAGGGAAGAACAAACGUGUAAGUAACUGUGCACGUCUUGACGGUACCUGAUCAGAAAGCCACGGCUAACUACGUGCCAGCAGCCGCGGUAAUACGUAGGUGGCAAGCGUUAUCCGGAAUUAUUGGGCGUAAAGCGCGCGUAGGCGGUUUUUUAAGUCUGAUGUGAAAGCCCACGGCUCAACCGUGGAGGGUCAUUGGAAACUGGAAAACUUGAGUGCAGAAGAGGAAAGUGGAAUUCCAUGUGUAGCGGUGAAAUGCGCAGAGAUAUGGAGGAACACCAGUGGCGAAGGCGACUUUCUGGUCUGUAACUGACGCUGAUGUGCGAAAGCGUGGGGAUCAA
Molecule: ribosomal RNA, 500 nt
Filed under: Staphylococcus sp.
Lineage: Bacteria; Bacillati; Bacillota; Bacilli; Caryophanales; Staphylococcaceae
Description: bacterial SSU rRNA
Rfam family: Bacterial small subunit ribosomal RNA
Source: RNAcentral